UGCGGGUGACUUUAGAGAUA
Molecule: non-coding RNA, 20 nt
Filed under: Arabidopsis thaliana (thale cress)
Lineage: Eukaryota; Viridiplantae; Streptophyta; Magnoliopsida; Brassicales; Brassicaceae
Source: RNAcentral